This 301-nucleotide ribosomal RNA is filed under the name uncultured bacterium. RNAcentral describes it as "partial 16S ribosomal RNA". It matches the Rfam family "Bacterial small subunit ribosomal RNA", at positions 509 to 807 of the family's 1533-position model. The record is from RNAcentral.
CAGCAGCCGCGGUAAGACGAACCGUGCGAACGUUAUUCGGAAUUACUGGGCGUAAAGCGUGCGUAGGAGGUGGUUUAAGUCCGUUGUGAAAGCCCUGGGCUCAACCUGGGAAUUGCAGUGGAUACUGGGUCACUAGAGUGUGGUAGAGGAUAGUGGAAUUUCCGGUGUAGCAGUGAAAUGCGUAGAGAUCGGAAGGAACAUCUGUGGCGAAGGCGACUAUCUGGGCCAACACUGACACUGAGGCACGAAAGCGUGGGGAGCAAACAGGAUUAGAUACCCGUGUAGUCCCUGUCUCUUAUAC